RNAcentral lists this ribosomal RNA (1456 nucleotides) under Klebsiella pneumoniae. RNAcentral's name for it is "bacterial SSU rRNA". It matches the Rfam family "Bacterial small subunit ribosomal RNA". Lineage: Bacteria; Pseudomonadati; Pseudomonadota; Gammaproteobacteria; Enterobacterales; Enterobacteriaceae. The record is from RNAcentral.
AGAGUUUGAUCCUGGCUCAGAAUUGCGCGGCUACACAUGCAAGUCGAGCGGUAGCACAGAGAGCUUGCUCUCGGGUGACGAGCGGCGGACGGGUGAGUAAUGUCUGGGAAACUGCCUGAUGGAGGGGGAUAACUACUGGAAACGGUAGCUAAUACCGCAUAACGUCGCAAGACCAAAGUGGGGGACCUUCGGGCCUCAUGCCAUCAGAUGUGCCCAGAUGGGAUUAGCUAGUAGGUGGGGUAACGGCUCACCUAGGCGACGAUCCCUAGCUGGUCUGAGAGGAUGACCAGCCACACUGGAACUGAGACACGGUCCAGACUCCUACGGGAGGCAGCAGUGGGGAAUAUUGCACAAUGGGCGCAAGCCUGAUGCAGCCAUGCCGCGUGUGUGAAGAAGGCCUUCGGGUUGUAAAGUACUUUCAGCGGGGAGGAAGGCGAUAAGGUUAAUAACCUUGUCGAUUGACGUUACCCGCAGAAGAAGCACCGGCUAACUCCGUGCCAGCAGCCGCGGUAAUACGGAGGGUGCAAGCGUUAAUCGGAAUUACUGGGCGUAAAGCGCACGCAGGCGGUCUGUCAAGUCGGAUGUGAAAUCCCCGGGCUCAACCUGGGAACUGCAUUCGAAACUGGCAGGCUAGAGUCUUGUAGAGGGGGGUAGAAUUCCAGGUGUAGCGGUGAAAUGCGUAGAGAUCUGGAGGAAUACCGGUGGCGAAGGCGGCCCCCUGGACAAAGACUGACGCUCAGGUGCGAAAGCGUGGGGAGCAAACAGGAUUAGAUACCCUGGUAGUCCACGCCGUAAACGAUGUCGAUUUGGAGGUUGUGCCCUUGAGGCGUGGCUUCCGGAGCUAACGCGUUAAAUCGACCGCCUGGGGAGUACGGCCGCAAGGUUAAAACUCAAAUGAAUUGACGGGGGCCCGCACAAGCGGUGGAGCAUGUGGUUUAAUUCGAUGCAACGCGAAGAACCUUACCUGGUCUUGACAUCCACAGAACUUAGCAGAGAUGCUUUGGUGCCUUCGGGAACUGUGAGACAGGUGCUGCAUGGCUGUCGUCAGCUCGUGUUGUGAAAUGUUGGGUUAAGUCCCGCAACGAGCGCAACCCUUAUCCUUUGUUGCCAGCGGUUCGGCCGGGAACUCAAAGGAGACUGCCAGUGAUAAACUGGAGGAAGGUGGGGAUGACGUCAAGUCAUCAUGGCCCUUACGACCCAGGGCUACACACGUGCUACAAUGGCAUAUACAAAGAGAAGCGACCUCGCGAGAGCAAGCGGACCUCAUAAAGUAUGUCGUAGUCCGGAUUGGAGUCUGCAACUCGACUCCAUGAAGUCGGAAUCGCUAGUAAUCGUAGAUCAGAAUGCUACGGUGAAUACGUUCCCGGGCCUUGUACACACCGCCCGUCACACCAUGGGAGUGGGUUGCAAAAGAAGUAGGUAGCUUAACCUUCGGGAGGGCGCUUACCAUCUUUGU